This 465-nucleotide ribosomal RNA is filed under the name uncultured bacterium. Its description in RNAcentral is "partial 16S ribosomal RNA". It matches the Rfam family "Bacterial small subunit ribosomal RNA", at positions 28 to 507 of the family's 1533-position model. The record is from RNAcentral.
GAUGAACGCUGGCGGCGUGCUUAACACAUGCAAGUCGAACGGAAAGGCUCCUGCUUGCAGGGGUACUCGAGUGGCGAACGGGUGAGUAACACGUGGGUGAUCUGCCCUGCACUUCGGGAUAAGCCUGGGAAACUGGGUCUAAUACCGGAUAGGACGAUGGUUUGGAUGCCAUUGUGGAAAGUUUUUCGGUGUGGGAUGAGCUCGCGGCCUAUCAGCUUGUUGGUGGGGUAAUGGCCUACCAAGGCGUCGACGGGUAGCCGGCCUGAGAGGGUGUACGGCCACAUUGGGACUGAGAUACGGCCCAGACUCCUACGGGAGGCAGCAGUGGGGAAUAUUGCACAAUGGGCGCAAGCCUGAGGCAGCGACGCCGCGUGGGGGAUGACGGCCUUCGGGUUGUAAACUCCUUUCGCUAGGGACGAAGCGAAAGUGACGGUACCUGGAGAAGAAGCACCGGCUAACUACGUG